CAUUAAGUGGCUGAAAUAAAUAAGCAUUGGUCUCUUAAACCAAAACAUAGUUUAAUAACUCUUAAUGA
Molecule: transfer RNA, 68 nt
Filed under: Brachyrhynchus hsiaoi
Lineage: Eukaryota; Metazoa; Arthropoda; Insecta; Hemiptera; Aradidae
Description: tRNA-Lys
Source: RNAcentral